Cydia pomonella (codling moth) is the source of this 809-nucleotide long non-coding RNA. RefSeq lists it as uncharacterized. Lineage: Eukaryota; Metazoa; Arthropoda; Insecta; Lepidoptera; Tortricidae. The transcript has 2 exons. The record is from RefSeq and is a predicted model, not a curated record.
GCUUUUGAAUUAAAUGUUCAAUAAUAAUAAAAUCAAACAUAAUUUAAUCAAAACAUUGAUUGAUCAAAACGUGUCAUUGCUCAAAUUAAGGUAUUAGUUUUUUAAGACUUUUUAUUUUUAAAAACCAGUGUUUUUCAUACGACUACGGCCGUGUAGUAGGUAUAAAGCACCCAAAAUAUCUUGGCUCUGUAGAUCAAGUCUAUACCUAGUGAAUGUCAUAUAUCUAUGGUCUACACUUUGCUACAAAAAAGUAAAGUUAAAAAAUAGUAAAAUGGCGUCAAUGGUACGAUUAAUGCGAUUGCUAUUAGUGUUGAUAUGUUUUGUAAAAUUGUUAAGGUGAUCGUUUUAAGAACUUAGUAACCUCCUUAUAUAGGUAAUAAUGAAAAAAAAGAGCAUUAUGAAUAGUGUGUUACAGAAAUAUCCCCCAUCAAGCUCAGCUAUAACCUGUCGGGAAACACGAUCUAGCACGGCAUGUGAGCACGGUUUCAGACAAAUAUCAGCUUGCCUCAAGGACUCUGCUCCAAAAUGUCUACGAGUAGCUCAAAUAAGGAAGAUGAGAGACGAGCAGAUUUGAUAAAAAAUAACAACUUACUAAUUCCAUGCAGAGAAGUCGCUGGAAGAAACUAGUAAGCUAUGAGUUAAGUACAUGUAUAAAAGUAAUAUGCCAUGUCAGAGAAGAGUGGCCUACCAAAUCCCACGAAAAAAGCAAAUUCUAAAUAAAACACGAGAGUGUGACACUGACAUCCGUCCGGACGCACCUUGAGGAAGGUACGGAAUACGGAACCCUAAAAUAAACAACGCUUCACUCA